AUACGGAGGGUGCAAGCGUUAAUCGGAUUCAUUGGGCGUAAAGAGUGCGUAGGCGGGGAGGUAAGUUAGAUGUGAAAGCCCGGGGCUCAACCCCGGUCCCGCGUCUAAUACUGCCUCUCUAGAGGAUAGGCGGAGAAAAGGGAAUUCCACGUGUAGCGGUGAAAUGCGUAGAUAUGUGGAGGAACACCGGUGGCGAAGGCGCUUUUCUAGCUUAGACCUAACGCUGAGGCACGAAAGCGAGGGGAGCAAACAGGAUUAGAAACCCCAGUAGUCC
RNAcentral lists this ribosomal RNA (274 nucleotides) under uncultured bacterium. RNAcentral describes it as "partial 16S ribosomal RNA". It matches the Rfam family "Bacterial small subunit ribosomal RNA", at positions 523 to 796 of the family's 1533-position model. The record is from RNAcentral.